This is a long non-coding RNA of Perca fluviatilis (European perch), 4673 nucleotides long. RefSeq lists it as uncharacterized. NCBI's taxonomy places the organism in Eukaryota, Metazoa, Chordata, Actinopteri, Perciformes, Percidae. The transcript is spliced from 3 exons. The record is from RefSeq and is a predicted model, not a curated record.
GAGGGACAGAAAGGGAGAGAAAGAGAGCUAGCGUGAGUGUGUGAGAGAGACAGACGUUACAGCGAGGAAUAAUCAAUACAAUCUAAGAUGGUGGAAACAGCCAUGCUGUUUCGGUCUCUCUCUCUCUGGUUAACUAUUUGGCUUGCUUACUCUUCAUGUAAAUCAGUUCAUGGAUUCGGUUAGGACAAAUUAUUAAGACCAUCUUACUUUCUAUUUUAUUCCUCCUCUAUUUUAAACAAGAAGAAUCAGCAUCUCUGGGGGGUUUCUCGAAAUUUUGUCCGAACAGUUGAAUGCAUUUUACCGGGCAUGUGGCAGCUGUUUUUCCUCGAGGAAAAGCAGUGAAGUCUCACCCAAAAAUGCUUAUCAGCCUUUUGACUUUGUGCCAAAAUAGCUGCAAGGGUUCAGCUGCAGCGUUCAGCUCGCUUUGUGACAGAGCUGGGGCAAGGAGGAGGGUCCUAGCCCUGCGUUCUUUGCCACAUGUUACUGAAAUAAACACUGUUGAAGCUUAUCUUUUUCCUGUGUGUAUGUGUUCGUGUGCGUCUGGUCUAUUCUGUGCAUUCACUGUGGCAUGCUAAAGAGUUAAUACACUCUGAGAGUGUGUGCUCCUUUCAGAGUGUGCUUCCAAGGCUGUUCCAGCGGCAAGAGCCCCACUACAGUAAGAGUUAAGGUUAAUCAUUUAACCAGCUCUCAAAAGUGUUGCAUAUUUCUAGGAUCCUUCGACAGGGCAGUCCAUUAUGAAUGCAUUCUCUUUUUCCUAUUUUUUAUUAGUUCAUAUAGUAGCUGAGGUACUGUAUAGUGUAUCCCAGUAUGGCGUGUAAGUGUGUGGACUGCGUCUGCGCACUGUUGGAGGAGUGGAUUUCUGUGUCAUUAUUCCUCCUCCACCCCUCCCACAUUUAGUGCUUUCCACCCUCCCACUCUCCCUCUCUCUCUCUCUCUCUCUCUCUUUCCUUCUGUGUCUCCGUCUCCCACCCAUCUUAUGCUCCCUCCCUCCCAUCCUCCCUCCUUCUCCCCCGUCUCCGGUGCAAAUACAGUUCCUUGCCGUGUUGGACAUGUGAUGAAAAAGUGACUCGUUCGCGCGCUCCGCCGCACCUCCUAUUUCAUCAUCAGCGGAGCAUUUCUCCCCUUCACUGUGCGCUCGCUGUCUCCUCCUCUCUUCCUCUCUCUCUCUCUCUCUCUCUCUCUCCCUCUCUCUCUCUCUCUCUCUUCUUUUUCCCUCUCUGUUUCGCUUGCUCCCCUCUUUCUGCUCCAGCCACACGCAAGGGGGAGACUUAAGCUCUGCAAGAGGAAAAAAAAGAAAAAAAGUCUGCUGCUAUUUCUACAGUCAGGGCCUCCCCACAGCCCGCCCUUCCAUAGACGGAGCUUUUUUUCACUCACUACUAGCUGGAUUUUAACCCUCUGCCUCCAACUAGCUGCACAGCAGCUCUGCAAAACCUGGCAACAAGUUGCUUUUUAGGGGCCUUUUCUCACUUUGGGCACAUUGAUUUUUGCAUCACUUUGGAUUUGGGUGCUGUUUUUUCCGCUCUUUGGUAUUUUUUUUUUUUUUUUUAAUGCACUGCAUCUUCGUAUUUUUUCUCUGCUGAUGGGUUUCUAGUAGUAUGUACUGUAUUUAGUUUCUUUCUUUUUGGAUGGAAAUUCGUCAAGGUGGUGUUUCGCCAUGUGAUGGGCCUUGUUCCACCUGGAGUGUUGAGGCGCCAUUUCUGACGGGUAACCUGCUUGGGGUUGGCUCUUAGUCUGGAUGACCACUAUGGAUGACAAGCAGAGAAUUUGACCAGUAUCUGAGCGCGGUACACAUCUGUGUUUUAAAGACCUUCAUCAGCAACUGGCGUGAAGUACUGCACCUCCUUCAUCUUUAUGCCUGUCUCUCCUUCUAUUUCCUUCCCAUGUCCCUCUCUCUCUCUCUCUCUCGCUCUCUCUCUCUCUCUCUCUCUCUCUCUCUCUCUCUCUCUCUCUUUCUCUGUCUCUCACUCCCCCUUGUUCUCUCUCUUUCACACUGACUUGCUCUCCUAACAGGAGAAUGAGUGGUGUGCUGAGCCGGAGCCCUUUCUGGGACAGGUGCCAACUGCAAACAAAAGACAUUAAAAGGCAAUAAGAGAAAAAAAAAAUUGUAAUUGCGAAAUAUUAUCAUAUUGUUGAUAGUGAAAUGACAGAAGUAGCCUUGCAUGUUGUGUUUCUACAUGGCCACUUUGCGCUAUUAUUGCAUGUUUGUAUGAAGUAUUAAAACUGAUUUUUGGUAAAACAGAGGUUUGAAUACUUUGCCACACUUAUUCUAGUGAAGGCAUUUAAUUUGGGAAGAGGGAGGGAGUAAUGUGGGAGAGCAGCAUAUAGACUGCUGAAUUAUUCAUGUGCCCAGCCAAGGCUGUGACUGGACUGGUUGUGCUAUUUGCAUGCAUCAGACAUGCUGUUUGUCUGUUUGCUAACAUUCCUCAUUCAAAGACUUGUUAACUAGCAGACGGGCUUAGCUAGAGCCUUGCAGACAGCCUCAUGGCCUCCUAUUGUUUCAGGCCUCAGCAGGCCUGGACCCAGCCAGUGGCGGGCGAGCCGUGCAGCCCUGAGCUUGUGGCUCAGAGUGUGGUUGGAAGAGGGAGUGAGGCUGGAGCUGAGAUUCAGGCUGGGGUUCAGGCUGGAGCAUUACGCUGAGGCACGGCCGUGGAGGGGACAGGCUGAGGGAAAUCUCUUGGUCUAGCAAGAACCACCAAACGAGAGCUUAUGGCUUUCUCCUCUUCUUGACAGAGAUGUGGAUCAAAGCGGGAAGAACAUGCCGAGUUUCCCAUCCCGACCGACAUUUCAAAAAUUGGCAGUAAGAUGGGUUUGGACUUCAGCCACAGGCACAAAAAAUUUGACCAACAAGUGAAAUCAUGGACAGACAGACUGGCGAUUGCAGCAGCAUUAAGUAACAGAUCUUCCCUCUCGGGGAUUUUCAGACGAAGGCUACCUGACAUGCUGCUGAAACCGUGAUGGAGGUUUCAACCCCCCCCCCCCUUCGCUGCGUGUUACAGAGCAGGUGAGAAACAUUAACAGCGGCAGCAUCUGCGGCCCUCUGCUCUGCACAUGUGGGAUAUGCGUCAGCUUAAGCUUGCCCACUGUCAACACUGGUCACUUUUGUUAACACGCUCCUUUCUGAAGCACACAAACAGUACUGAGAAAGAAGGGAUACGAUUGUUAUACAAUUAUUUACUUUUUUUACAAUGUAUUGUAUCUACUUGCAACCUCACGUCACAUGUAGUUCAACCAAAGAGGGAUUUUUCAUUCACGAAAAUAUGGUCUGCUUAUUUUAAAAUGGACAAUAUUUAAUGAAAGGAACAUUUUAAUAGUUUUGAGGUUUAACAAUUUCCCGUAAAAUCCUUAUUUUGUAUUUCACAGUACCCUUUAAGUUAUUUGCUGGUCACAUUUGAAUAUGGAAAUAUCUAGUCCUUACAAUUUGUUUGGGACAUAUCCACCUUGUUGGUUCAUUUGAAUUCCCCCUGAGCUUGAGCCAUGAACCCGGGUGACCCAGUCUUCACAUUGUGUUCUGAACACACAGACUCCAGUCCCAGAGGAGAGUGGCAUGUGUAUUUGUGUUUCAGUGAGUCAUAACCGCUGAUUUGCAUUCAUCAAAGUGUGUCAAAGCGGAUUACCUGCAUGAACGGGGACCUGAAAUGAUUUAGUUAUUAAAGACUGUCCUUUGGGGUGAGGUAGUAGGUUGUAUAGUUUUAGGGUCAUACCCUUCCUGUCAGAUAACUAUACAACUUACUGUCUUUCCUGAAGUGGCUGUAAUGUCAUCAGAUGCCGUUGUUGGAGCUUUUGGAUCUGGAUCAACACUGCAAUGUGCAUGUUUACCCACUGACUGCUAAGAACAUAACUCAUUUACAGCAUUUGAUACUGGUAGGUCAUUUAGGAUUCUAGUUGCUUUACGUCGUUUUCUCAUGAUUUUCAUGGUUGUACUUUAAGACUUUAUGAUCAAUAAAAAAAUGGCAAAAAUAAUGUCUUCUUCACUGUAUAUUGUGUUAAUUUCCACACAAACCUGCUCUCAUCUAGUUGUCAUCCUCUUUUCUUAGCUCUUAUUUCUGUCUUUUUUAAUUGUCUUUUAUGAUCAUCACAGGAUUUUAGGAUUUUGUCAAAGCUCUCUGGCUAUCCUCAAACUGUUCUGACUGCAUGUAAUGUUAGUGUUUUAGAAAUUAAAACUCAACUUAGUCAUCGUCUGUCAUUGUUAGUUACUUUAGAUAUCAAGUGUGUUUAUCUUCAAAAUGUAAAAAAUGUAUGAGGAUGUUUUAUAAGAACAUGUACAGUGUUUAUAUAUGUCACUCCACCUUAAUACUCUCCAGUAUAAGUUACACCCAAGCUUGCCAACCUGUACGACCUUUCUGAUGUUCGAACGGGAUGAGGUAGUAGGUUGUGUGGUUUCAGGGUAGUGAUUUUGCCCAAUCAGGAGAUAACUAUACAACCUACUGCCUUCCCUGAAGGGCAGCAAUACGUCACCAUAGAGACGACAGGGGGCAUAUUAUUCAUGGCAUCAGAAAAACUCCCAAAAUCAACAAACCUGCACCCUGUCCACUUCUUACCUGGAGCAUAGGCGCAACGGACAAUCAUAGCAGCAGAGAGGAUCAGCAGGUAAUGUCUGUUCAUUAAGGGAUUUGUCUUUGAUUUGUUUAUUCAAACUGUGUGUUUCAAAUGAAUAAAGAAUAAGGUAAUUAAUA